AUAGCUCACUGGUCGAGUCGGCCCGCGCGGAAGAUGUAACGGGGCUAAACCAUGCACCGAAGCUGCGGCAGCGACACAUAGUGUUGUUGGGUAGGGGAGCGUUCUGUAAGCCUGCGAAGGUGUACUGUGAGGUAUGCUGGAGGUAUCAGAAGUGCGAAUGCUGACAUAAGUAACGAUAAUGCGGGUGAAAAACCCGCACGCCGGAAGACCAAGGGUUCCUGUCCAACGUUAAUCGGGGCAGGGUGAGUCGACCCCUAAGGCGAGGCUGAAAAGCGUAGUCGAUGGGAAACGGGUUAAUAUUCCCGUACUGGUGGUAACUGCGAUGGGGGAACGGAGAAGGCUAGGUUGUCCGGGCGACGGUCGUCCCGGUUCAAGCAGGUAGGCAGAGUGAUUAGGCAAAUCCGGUCACUUAAUGCUGAGAUGUGAUGACGAACCACCAAGGUGGUGAAGCAAUUGAUGCCCCGCUUCCAGGAAAAGCCUCUAAGCUUCAGGUUACCAACAAUCGUACCCCAAACCGACACAGGUGGUCAGGUAGAGAAUACUCAGGCGCUUGAGAGAACUCGGGUGAAGGAACUAGGCAAAAUGGUGCCGUAACUUCGGGAGAAGGCACGCUGGCGGUAGGUAAAGUCCCUCGCGGACGGCGCCCAAGCCAGUCGAAGAUACCAGCUGGCUGCAACUGUUUAUUAAAAACACAGCACUGUGCAAACACGAAAGUGGACGUAUACG
RNAcentral lists this ribosomal RNA (726 nucleotides) under Proteus mirabilis. RNAcentral's name for it is "partial 23S ribosomal RNA". It matches the Rfam family "Bacterial large subunit ribosomal RNA", at positions 1137 to 1849 of the family's 2925-position model. Lineage: Bacteria; Pseudomonadati; Pseudomonadota; Gammaproteobacteria; Enterobacterales; Morganellaceae. The record is from RNAcentral.